UUUGUUUUAAGAAAGGGAGAUGUGGUAUUAUACAUGUUGGGGGUAACACCCUAGUGGGGGAGACGUCAUGAGAGGCGGGCCCACUAAGUGGCGCAGUAGCGAGAGUUGAAGACUGUAUGUUUGUUUCCGGUGGUUGAAUAAACAGUCUACAGCACGUCCCGUCCCGGAGCCUUCUUGAAAAGCAACAUCACGACAAAAGAUUUGAUGGGAGAAAUUGCGGUUUCCUCGUAUCUGACCAAACCUUGAACCACAUCACCAGCAUCAUGCAAGUGAUAGCAACUCCUGGUGGGGAUGAACAUGAAACUCUUGGAGAAAUACAGCAACGGAUCCUUUGCAGUGAGAAUCAGCAGAAGAGGACUCUUUAAAAUGUUGGCACAGGUAUUCGCCUUUGGUAAUCUUGAUGUUGAGGAAGAUGGGAAGUGAAGGCAUGGCAGAGGACUGAUUCCAGCAGGAGGAACACGUGGCACACCUGCAGCAAACAUUAACACCUCCUCCAAGGUCACGGCGCUGUCAUCUUCUAAAGUAAAAAAAUUCAAAUUUAGGAUGCUUUUAGAAGGAUUUUUACCGUGUUUCACGCUUUUGAUACUGUUUCACAUUUUCACAAAUAAGAUGAAGGUUUCACAAAUCAGAAA
Molecule: long non-coding RNA, 632 nt
Organism: Oryzias latipes (Japanese medaka)
Lineage: Eukaryota; Metazoa; Chordata; Actinopteri; Beloniformes; Adrianichthyidae
Source: RefSeq, a predicted model, not a curated record